Non-coding RNA from Molorchus minor, 76 nucleotides. The record is from the annotation of a GenBank genome assembly. Lineage: Eukaryota; Metazoa; Arthropoda; Insecta; Coleoptera; Cerambycidae.
GACGAGGUGGCCGAGUGGUAAAGGCGUUGGACUGCUAAUCCAAUGGGCUCUGCCCGGGUCGAAUCCAUCCUCGUCG